CCGUCAUUUCGGUAGGUGAGGUUACCACAGGGAUUGGGUUUAUCCCGAAGAUUGCUGCCGCGAGAUUGUGGAGACACAAAGAGCUGGUCAGCAGGCUGCGUCGAGAAGGCGCAACCUAAUGCAAUUGAUAUGCCCUGUGAUGCUAAAGCUUGGACGAUUUGUACAGAACC
Lachnoclostridium sp. An169 is the source of this 170-nucleotide regulatory RNA element. It matches the Rfam family "M-box riboswitch aptamer (ykoK leader)". Rfam says of the family: M-box riboswitch, also know as ykoK leader is described as a metaloregulatory RNA that sense divalent metals and function as a genetic control element of genes related to divalent metal transport in bacteria. NCBI's taxonomy places the organism in Bacteria, Bacillati, Bacillota, Clostridia, Lachnospirales, Lachnospiraceae. The record is from Rfam.